Molecule: long non-coding RNA, 621 nt
Organism: Mirounga angustirostris (Northern elephant seal)
Lineage: Eukaryota; Metazoa; Chordata; Mammalia; Carnivora; Phocidae
Exons: 4
Source: RefSeq, a predicted model, not a curated record
GUUGCAAAGCCCCAAUAAUGCCCUACAUCACUCGUGCUGGCGGUGGUGGAGCAAGAGGUGAAACAGAAGGCUGGUGACAUUUCACAUGGCAUUCUGUUACACGGUUCCCACUGAUUUACUUCUCUACCUUCCAAGCGGAGUAUGAGCCCUUCAAGGGCAAGGCUGUGUUUCGCUUGUGACUGCAUCUUUGGCAUUGGCCCAUUCAGCGUAUCGUGGCUGGAUGAGAUGGGCAUUGACCCCUGACCGCCUGAGGAGAUUCGUACCUGUCUAUUCUCUCCCCUUCCCAAGGGAGGAAUCUGUGCAGUGUAAGAGCAGGGGAUGCAAAGCAUUUCAUAUUUGUAAACGUUCAUCCGAUACCCUAAACAAGCUCCUUCAGCACAAUCCUGUGAGAGCAGAAGCUGACACUGCUGGAUUUGUUCUCUUUUCUCUGUUCUUUCAUUGAAGAGAAAUUCUGCACAUAGUCAAGAGAGACGAAAAGAAAACCAACCCCCUUCACAGAACUAGAACAAAUAAUACUAAAAUUUGUAUGGAACCACAAAAACCCUGAAUACUCAAAGCAAUCUUGAGAAAGAAGAACAAAGCUUGUAUCACAAUCCCCGAGUUCAAGAUCUACGACAAAGC